RNAcentral lists this ribosomal RNA (481 nucleotides) under uncultured bacterium. RNAcentral's name for it is "partial 16S ribosomal RNA". It matches the Rfam family "Bacterial small subunit ribosomal RNA", at positions 30 to 504 of the family's 1533-position model. The record is from RNAcentral.
AUUGAACGCUGGCGGCAGGCCUAACACAUGCAAGUCGAGCGGAUGAAGGGAGCUUGCUCCUGGAUUCAGCGGCGGACGGGUGAGUAAUGCCUAGGAAUCUGCCUGGUAGUGGGGGAUAACGUCCGGAAACGGGCGCUAAUACCGCAUACGUCCUGAGGGAGAAAGUGGGGGAUCUUCGGACCUCACGCUAUCAGAUGAGCCUAGGUCGGAUUAGCUAGUUGGUGGGGUAAAGGCCUACCAAGGCGACGAUCCGUAACUGGUCUGAGAGGAUGAUCAGUCACACUGGAACUGAGACACGGUCCAGACUCCUACGGGAGGCAGCAGUGGGGAAUAUUGGACAAUGGGCGAAAGCCUGAUCCAGCCAUGCCGCGUGUGUGAAGAAGGUCUUCGGAUUGUAAAGCACUUUAAGUUGGGAGGAAGGGCAGUAAGUUAAUACCUUGCUGUUUUGACGUUACCAACAGAAUGAGCACCGGCUAACUUC